RNAcentral lists this microRNA precursor (90 nucleotides) under Podarcis lilfordi (Lilford's wall lizard). Lineage: Eukaryota; Metazoa; Chordata; Lepidosauria; Squamata; Lacertidae. The record is from RNAcentral.
ACAUACAUACACACACACACACACACACACACACACUGUGUAUACAAAUAUAUACUGUGUGUGUGUGUGUGUGUGUGUGUGUGUAUAUAU